GAUAAGGGGGGGCGGGAAGGCGCGGCGAGGCGAACGGUGCGAAGGUGGUUCGGAAUCACUGAGCGUAAGGGGCGCGUAGGCGGGGGGUCAGGCCCGCGGGGAAAUCCCCCGGGUCAACCGGGGGAGGGCGGCGGGGACCGGGCGUCUGGAGUGAGGUAGGGGCGUGCGGAACUGUGGGUGGAGCGGUGAAAUGCGUUGAUAUCCACAGGAACUCCGGUGGCGAAGGCGGCACGCUGGACCUUGACUGACGCUGAGGCGCGAAAGCCAGGGGAGCGAACGGGAUUAGAUACCCCAGUAGUC
Molecule: ribosomal RNA, 300 nt
Filed under: uncultured Staphylothermus sp.
Lineage: Archaea; Thermoproteati; Thermoproteota; Thermoprotei; Desulfurococcales; Desulfurococcaceae
Description: partial 16S ribosomal RNA
Rfam family: Bacterial small subunit ribosomal RNA (bases 52-300)
Source: RNAcentral